Molecule: ribosomal RNA, 433 nt
Filed under: uncultured bacterium
Lineage: Bacteria
Description: partial 16S ribosomal RNA
Rfam family: Bacterial small subunit ribosomal RNA
Source: RNAcentral
AACGAACGCUGGCGGCGUGCCUAACACAUGCAAGUCGAACGAAACCUCCGGGUCUUUUGGCGCACGGGUGCGUAAGGCGUGGGAACCUGCCCUUAGGUUCGGAAUAACUCCCCGAAAGGGAUGCUAAUGCCGGAUAAUGUCUUCCCACCAAAGAUUUAUGGCGUUUGGAUGGGCCCGCGUUGGAUUAGCUGGUUGGUAGGGUAAAAGCAUUGCAAGGCGUCGAUGCAUAGCUGGUCUGAGAGGAUGACACACUACACUUGGGAUAAGACACGGACCAGAAUCGUACGCAAGGGUGGAGAGGGGUAUAUUGGAAGAGGGGGCCAGAUCUGAACCAGCCAUGUCGGGGAAGUGGGGAAGGGGGUAGGGUUGUAAAGUUGUUUUAACCGGGAUGAUAAUGACAGUACCGGGUGAAUAAGCUCCGGCUAACUACGUG